GAGACUCUGUGCGCGUGCAUAUCAAUAAGCGGAGGAAAAGAAACUAACAAGGAUUCCCUUAGUAACGGCGAGUGAAGCGGGAAGAGCUCAAAUUUGAAAUCUUCGAGGUUUUACCUUGACGAAUUGUAGUUUAAAGAAGUGUUUUCUGUUGGAGUUUUGGUAAAAGUUCUUUGGAAUAGGACAUCAUAGAGGGUGAGAAUCCCGUAUUUGACCAUUAUUUCCAGCUGUGUGAUACACUUUCAAAGAGUCGGAUUGUUUGGGAAUGCAGUCCAAAAUGGGUGGUAAAUUUCAUCUAAAGCUAAAUAUUGGCGAGAGACCGAUAGCGAACAAGUACCGUGAGGGGAAAGAUGAAAAGAACUUUGAAAAGAGAGUUAGACAGUACGUGAAAUUGUCAAAAGGGAAGCGUUUGACACCAGUGUUGUUUUUCCGAAAAUCAAUUACGAAUGUUUUGUUUUGAGAAGUUAUGACUUCAUCGGCUUGCUUCUCUCUUUACGAAACUUUCUUAAUGCACUUUUCGGUUAACAAGUCAACAUCAAUUUCUUUUGUUGUAAAAGGGUACGAGGAAGGUGGCUUUCUUUUCGGAGAAAGUGUUUAUAGCCUUGUACCUCUGCAGAUCGGAGAGAUUGAGGUCUGCAGCGUAGAUCCUUCGGGGUUAGAUACAUUUGUGCUAAGUUAUAGCUUUUCAUAGACAACUUGUUGACUAUGUUUAGUCUUGUAGCUUACUCGCUUAUGCUAUUUUACCUACGCUUAGGAUGUUGACGAUCAGCUGAGCGCG
Molecule: ribosomal RNA, 775 nt
Filed under: uncultured Neocallimastigales
Lineage: Eukaryota; Fungi; Neocallimastigomycota; Neocallimastigomycetes; Neocallimastigales
Description: partial large subunit ribosomal RNA
Rfam family: Eukaryotic large subunit ribosomal RNA
Source: RNAcentral